Molecule: ribosomal RNA, 253 nt
Filed under: uncultured bacterium
Lineage: Bacteria
Description: partial 16S ribosomal RNA
Rfam family: Bacterial small subunit ribosomal RNA
Source: RNAcentral
UACGGAGGAUCCAAGCGUUAUCCGGAAUCAUUGGGUUUAAAGGGUCCGUAGGUGGGCCGUUAAGUCAGAGGUGAAAUCCUGCAGCUCAACUGUAGAAUUGCCUUUGAUACUGGCGGGCUUGAAUUACUGUGAAGUGGUUAGAAUAUGUGGUGUCGCGGUGAAAUGCGUAGAUAUCACAUAGAAUACCGAUUGCGAAGGCAGAUCACUAACAGUACAUUGACACUGAUGGACGAACGCGUGGGGAGCGAACAGG